GGAUCGAUGAUAAGUUUCCCAUAAAAAUAUUCCUUGAAAAAGUUGAACAAAAUGAGUGAAAACUCACAACUGUCAUUCUCAUCAGAACUGAGGUCC
This 96-nucleotide small nucleolar RNA is filed under the name Carlito syrichta (Philippine tarsier). Its description in RNAcentral is "Small nucleolar RNA SNORD116 (ENSTSYG00000032026.1)". It matches the Rfam family "Small nucleolar RNA SNORD116". Rfam says of the family: HBII-85 is a member of the C/D class of snoRNAs, which contain the C (UGAUGA) and D (CUGA) box motifs. HBII-85 is encoded in a tandemly repeated array with another C/D snoRNA, HBII-52, in the Prader-Willi syndrome (PWS) region of chromosome 15. The record is from Rfam by way of RNAcentral. Lineage: Eukaryota; Metazoa; Chordata; Mammalia; Primates; Tarsiidae.